CGCGGCCUAUCAGCUUGUUGGUGGGGUGAUGGCCUACCAAGGCGACGACGGGUAGCCGGCCUGAGAGGGCGACCGGCCACACUGGGACUGAGACACGGCCCAGACUCCUACGGGAGGCAGCAGUGGGGAAUAUUGCACAAUGGGCGGAAGCCUGAUGCAGCGACGCCGCGUGAGGGAUGACGGCCUUCGGGUUGUAAACCUCUUUCAGCCCCGACGAAGCGCAAGUGACGGUAGGGGCAGAAGAAGCGCCGGCCAACUACGUGCCAGCAGCCGCGGUAAGACGUAGGGCGCGAGCGUUGUCCGGAUUUAUUGGGCGUAAAGAGCUCGUAGGCGGCUUGUUGCGUCGACUGUGAAAACCCACGGCUCAACCGUGUGGUCUGCAGUCGAUACGGGCAGGCUAGAGUUCGGUAGGGGAGACUGGAAUUCCUGGUGUAGCGGUGAAAUGCGCAGAUAUCAGGAGGAACACCGGCGGCGAAGGCGGGUCUCUGGGCCGAUACUGACGCUGAGGAGCGAAAGCGUGGGGAGCGAACAGGAUUAGAUACCCUGGUAGUCCACGCUGUAAACGUUGGGCGCUAGGUGUGGGGGGCCUCUCCGGUUCUCUGUGCCGCAGCUAACGCAUUAAGCGCCCCGCCUGGGGAGUACGG
This 644-nucleotide ribosomal RNA is filed under the name uncultured Actinomycetes bacterium. Its description in RNAcentral is "bacterial SSU rRNA". It matches the Rfam family "Bacterial small subunit ribosomal RNA", at positions 232 to 885 of the family's 1533-position model. Lineage: Bacteria; Bacillati; Actinomycetota; Actinomycetes. The record is from RNAcentral.